GACGAACGCUGGCGGCGUGCCUAAUACAUGCAAGUUGAGCGAUGAAGAUUGGUGCUUGCACCAAUUUGAAGAGCAGCGCACGGGUGAGUAACGCGUGGGGACUCUGCCUUUGAGCGGGGUAAACCCUUGGAAACGGAACGAAAAUCCGCCAUAAUAACUUACACCAUAGUUUUUAGUUUUAAAGUUGGAAUUUGCUUAAUGCAAACACGACCCCGCGUCGUAUUGGUUGGUUGGUGGGGUAAAGGCUCACCAAGGGGUGGACACGUAGCCGACGUGAGAGGGUGAUCGGCCGCAUUGGGACUGAGACACGGCCCAAACUGCUACGGGAGGCGGCCGUAGGGAAUCGUCGGCAAGGGGCGAAAGUCUGACCGAGCAGCGCCGAGGGAGUGAGGAGGGUUGUCGGAUGGUAAAACUCUGUUGGUAGGGAAGAACGUUGGUGAGAGUGGAAAGAACAGCAAGUGGCGGUAACUACCCAGAAAGGGACGGCUAACUACGUG
RNAcentral lists this ribosomal RNA (497 nucleotides) under uncultured bacterium. RNAcentral describes it as "partial 16S ribosomal RNA". It matches the Rfam family "Bacterial small subunit ribosomal RNA", at positions 28 to 507 of the family's 1533-position model. The record is from RNAcentral.